RNAcentral lists this ribosomal RNA (412 nucleotides) under uncultured soil bacterium. RNAcentral describes it as "bacterial SSU rRNA". It matches the Rfam family "Bacterial small subunit ribosomal RNA", at positions 26 to 430 of the family's 1533-position model. The record is from RNAcentral.
AGAGUGAACGCUGGCGGCAGGCCUAACACAUGCAAGUCGAGCGGCAGCGGGUCCUUCGGGAUGCCGGCGAGCGGCGGACGGGUGAGUAAGGCAUCGGAAUCUACCCUGAUGUGGGGGGAUAACCUGGGGGAAACUCAGGCUAAUACCGCAUACGACCUACGGGUGAAAGCGGGGGACCUUUCGGGGCCUCGCGAAGCAGGAUGAGCCGAUGUCCGAUUAGCUAGUUGGUGGGGUAAAGGCCCACCAAGGCGACGAUCGGUAGCCGGUCUGAGAGGAUGAUCGGCCACACUGGGACUGAGACACGGCCCAGACUCCGUACGGGAGGCAGCAGGUGGGGGAAUAGUUGGACGAAUGGGGGCAACCCUGAUCCGAGCCAUGCCGCGGUGGUGAAGAAGGCCUUCGGGUUAGUAAA